UUAAUAAAUGACACCGAGUCACUCGCUGAGGCAAAACCUUUCAAAAGAUUUGAAACAUUUUCUAUAGUAAAUAUUUUUUUCUUUGCUGUUAAGUAAUUUUUUGGCAAACUCUACAGGACAUGCAGGAACAGGGGCGGAUCUCUGCAGCCACAUUUUCCAUCCUCUAGAUGAGUUUGCGACUGCAGAUCUGAACCUCCUCCUUCCUGCAGGUUUUUAUAUCUCUGCCGCUCAGACUGAUGGACUUUGUGGAAGAUGAAUCGACUCCUCAGAAAACAACUUCUCCUGCAAUUUCUGCCGCCUUUCCUGUGGAUUUCAGGUUUUGCCGGUGGGAGUGACGUCACCCAGCCCGCCGUUUUGUGGAAGAACAAGAGCGGAGACGCGACAAUCGACUGCAGCCACAAAAAGGGCCCCACGUACUUCCAGAUGUACUGGUUCAGGCAGCUGCCGGGGAAAACGAUGGAGCUGGUCGUCUUCACCACGGCGGGCAGCAGCAAGCACGACUUCGGCAGCUUCAGCCAGGAGAAAUUCUCAGCCACCAAAGCGGAGGCCGAGAGCGGAGCGCUGACGGUGAAGAGCCUGGAGCCGGCAGAUGAAGGCCUGUACUUCUGCGCCGUGAGUUCAGCACAGCGGUGCAGGCGGGCAGGAAGGCUGAACAAAAACCCACGCAGCCAACGACGGCUUACUGUGGUUUGGACUGCAGGGGGGAGUCAAAGCGCUGUCUGCUCAUUCUCCUCCUUACACACACACAUACAAGGAAAAUAAAAAAAAUGAAGCCAUCCUUUAAAACCACAGUAAUACUAAUGAUGAAAUAUUUUGGGGUUUAUUAACUGAGAUAUCCUCAAUCCUGUUUCCUGCACAUUUUAAUCAGAAUAUUCUGUUUUUAAAUUACCGUAAAAUAUUAUUUUUCUUGCCUUGUAAAUUUUGUCCUUACUUAACAGCCGCAGCGUCAAACUCAUUUUCAUUUUGUUCCACAUCAAAACAUCUGACCGUUC
Molecule: non-coding RNA, 992 nt
Organism: Xiphophorus hellerii (green swordtail)
Lineage: Eukaryota; Metazoa; Chordata; Actinopteri; Cyprinodontiformes; Poeciliidae
Source: the annotation of a RefSeq genome assembly